GCCAACGCGGCAGACAUUGCCUACACGAGGAGGAGGACUCCAUGUUGAAAUUUUCCGGAUUUCUCCAUAAAAUCUGUAGUUUCUCUGUUCUUCCCGAUUGGCCUGUGUGGUUCAUCAAGAAAAAUGAUGCGGAAAAGUGAUGUGAAGUUUCGUCACAACCGCGACGACAACACACAAAUGCGAUUUCUUGACGUCGAAUCCUUCUAAUGUGACGUCACAACCUGUCGCUGUCGGCUGAUAAACGACGAUGACCCCUCUCGAUCCAUCCCAGAAAGCUCUAUAUACAACACGUCCCUGUCAUUUGCUGCGAAUGCUUACAUCAUCCUUCCUGAGAACAUCAUGAUGGAACCGCAUACACACCACGGGUCAACGAAGACAACCGCCAUCUCGAAGGAGGAGGAAAACCGUGAUGGAAUCUUCGCUCACAGUUUAUCAGUGCUUCAGGCAAGACCUACUCUUUGUAAAACUGCAAGCCAAACACUAGUUACACUUGUCAACGGUUCUGCCACAAAUGAUUACAAAUCGUUUUACAAGUUAAUACGACGCGACAGGCUUUUAAGCCUUGCUUUUACCCAAGAAAAGAUUUUAUUCGAACAGAAAAAGUUGUUAAGCAUAAAAAUACAUGGCAGAGCAGAAACAUAACAAGUGCAACUAGAUACUAGUGAGGUUUCGCAUCCCUAAGAUAUAAAUCUACGUAUACGUUUUAAAAUUUUGAAAUCGUAACGAAUUUUAGCUCUUCUGGUUAAAAGGAACCGAUUUCACAAUGUUGCGAAGGGCGCGCACCCUCAGUGCCCAGAAAACUGCCCAACAUGUAUGUGCGUCACACAGGCGUUUUGGAAGCGUAAACGUGAUUGCGAAACCUCCCUAUUUUCCAAUACAUGACACCUGACAAGAUCCUGGAGAUGGUUAAACUUAUAUUGAGGUUUAUUGGGGGGGGGGGGGGGGGGUUUAUUGGAAAGAUGUUUAAUUCGUAAUACUUUUACUGAUACCUUUUCAUGAAGCUUUUUUCCUCAGUUGCUGUAAGAAAAAAUCCUUUAAAAAGGCAUAGUUUCUUGGCUUAUGGUAUCUUUCGCAAUAACACCUGUUUUGCUGUUAAAAGUUUUAAAGCUUUUCGUAUUAAAAAAGUGAAAAAAAGUGCUAUAGGCCGACGGGAUUCGAACCCAAGACCUUUGGGAGGUAAGCCACACGCUCUAACCACUACUCCACCAAGCCACACUCUCCGUAUGGCUGCAAAAGAGCGAGUCACUGAAGUUUAGGCCAGACGGCUCAUUGAAAAUUUAUGGUGAAUUAUUGGUUGAAUAGACAGGUUACGAGAUCCUUUGUCAAAUAAGGUGUGUCAUUUUCUUCUGCAACAACACACAAUUUGUAGAUUUAAUUGUACGAGACGUAGGCCUAUUUCACAGCAAUACAUUGUACAGAAUUAGAUUUAGAUGGAUUGAACUGAUUCAAACUGAUUCAAACUAUGUAAGUAAUACUUUAAUCUCACUUCUAUGAGACCAUCUUAUCGAAAGUUAUUAUUAAUUUUCAGUACCGAAUACCGGGUGUUCGGUAUUGUUGA
This is a long non-coding RNA of Lineus longissimus, 1558 nucleotides long. RefSeq lists it as uncharacterized. The record is from RefSeq and is a predicted model, not a curated record. Lineage: Eukaryota; Metazoa; Nemertea; Pilidiophora; Heteronemertea; Lineidae. The transcript has 4 exons.